RNAcentral lists this ribosomal RNA (105 nucleotides) under Deltaproteobacteria bacterium HGW-Deltaproteobacteria-4. Lineage: Bacteria; Deltaproteobacteria. The record is from RNAcentral.
CGAAAACGUAAGAAUUACAGUUUUUUGUUCCCAUCCCGAACACAGAAGUUAAGCCCUACUGCGCUGAUGAUACUGCAUGGGAAGCCGUGUGGGAAAGUAGGUCGC